This 546-nucleotide ribosomal RNA is filed under the name Meloidogyne incognita (southern root-knot nematode). RNAcentral's name for it is "partial large subunit ribosomal RNA". The record is from RNAcentral. Lineage: Eukaryota; Metazoa; Nematoda; Chromadorea; Rhabditida; Meloidogynidae.
UACUUGAUUGGUGCUUGGGGAUGUUUGAGGCARAUUUGUUUCCSUCGUUUUGAGGCCAGCUUGCUGGUACCCAAACGGUGUUAGCAUUUUUUGUCUUGGRCMUUWGAGUAUGGCUCACGUGUAUUUAUUGGACMGAUCUGAGUGUAAGUUACGGUCGCAUGCGACACGUGCUUUUCAAUUAGUUCGGUCCAGUUAAUGCUCUCGUACUCGUUCCCCAUGUAAAAGCCGGUCAUCUAUCCGACCCGUCUUGAARCACGGACCAAGGAGUUUAUCGUGUGCGCAAGUUUUUGGGUGUUAAAAACYUAAAAGCGAAAUGAAAGUAAAUGACUCUUUAGAGUCUGAUGUGCGAUCUUGUAAAAAAGUGYAGCAUGGCCCCAUUCUAACUGUUUACAGUAGGGUGGCGRAAGAGCGUACGCGGUGAGACCCGAAAGAUGGUGAACUAUUCCUGAGCAGGACRAAGCCAGAGGAAACUCUGGUGGAAGUCCGAAGCGGUUCUGACGUGCAAAUCGAUCGUCUGACUUGGGUAUAGGGGCGAAAGACUAAUCG